GCGCCCGUAGCUCAGCUGGAUAGAGUGUCGGCCUCCGAAGCCGAAGGUCGCAGGUUCGACUCCUGCCGGGCGCGCCA
RNAcentral lists this transfer RNA (77 nucleotides) under Wenzhouxiangellaceae bacterium. Its description in RNAcentral is "tRNA-Arg". It matches the Rfam family "tRNA". From Rfam's summary of the family: Transfer RNA (tRNA) molecules are approximately 80 nucleotides in length. Their secondary structure includes four short double-helical elements and three loops (D, anti-codon, and T loops). Further hydrogen bonds mediate the characteristic L-shaped molecular structure. tRNAs have two regions of fundamental functional importance: the anti-codon, which is responsible for specific mRNA codon recognition, and the 3' end, to which the tRNAs corresponding amino acid is attached (by aminoacyl-tRNA synthetases). tRNAs cope with the degeneracy of the genetic code in two manners: having more than one tRNA (with a specific anti-codon) for a particular amino acid; and 'wobble' base-pairing, i.e. permitting non-standard base-pairing at the 3rd anti-codon position. The record is from RNAcentral. Lineage: Bacteria; Pseudomonadati; Pseudomonadota; Gammaproteobacteria; Chromatiales; Wenzhouxiangellaceae.